UGGAGGAAUGUAUAGCAAUAGCUGAUUGCACCAACAAAUGGUUGAUGCAAUAUUGACUCUGUCAAAUAAAAUUCUAGGUAGAAUUAUGAUAAUGACAUUGUCUGCCUAUAUGUCUUGACCAAAUUACGUGCCAGCAGUCGCGGUAAUACGUAGAAGACUAGUGUUAUUCAUCUUUAAUAGGUUUAAAGGGUACCUAGACGGUAAAUCAAGCCUUCAUAGGGACUAAUUUACUAGAGUUACUUACGAGGGGGUAUUAAAGUACUGCAGGUGUAGAGAUGAAAUUCUGUCAUACCUCUUUUCAAAAGAAAAAUUAUGGCACAGGUAUAGGUGAAAGCAUCCCCUUAUGUGAUAACUGACGUUGAAGGACGAAGGCUUUGUGUCGCGAACAGGAUUAGAUACCCCAGUAGUCAAAGCAGAAAAUGAUGAAUGUCAUAGAUUAGAUAUAUAAUUUAUUCUAUAAAUGAAAAUGUAAGCAUUCCACCUCAAGAGUAAUUUGGCAACAUUGGAACUGAAAUCAUUAGACCGUUUCUGAAACCAGUAGUGAAGUAUGUUGUUUAAUUUGAUGAUCCGCAAAAAACCUUACCACAAUUUGAAUAUUUAUAUCUAUCUUUUUUUUCGUAAACAAAUAAAAAGGUAAUAUAUUUACAAGCGUUGCACGGCUGUCUUCAGUUAAUGUCGCGAGACUUUGGUUAGUUCCAUUUAAUUAACGUAAACCCUUACUUUAUUUUUAUAUGAAGUAGUUCCCCACUAUAUUGGAUAUGAUAACAGGGACUA
Molecule: ribosomal RNA, 774 nt
Filed under: Lepraria friabilis
Lineage: Eukaryota; Fungi; Ascomycota; Lecanoromycetes; Lecanorales; Stereocaulaceae
Description: SSU rRNA
Rfam family: Bacterial small subunit ribosomal RNA
Source: RNAcentral